AUCCAGCUGACGAGUCCAAAAUAGGACGAAACGCGCGUUCUGGAU
Molecule: non-coding RNA, 45 nt
Organism: Schistosoma rodhaini
Lineage: Eukaryota; Metazoa; Platyhelminthes; Trematoda; Strigeidida; Schistosomatidae
Source: Rfam